This 290-nucleotide ribosomal RNA is filed under the name Ralstonia solanacearum. RNAcentral's name for it is "partial 16S ribosomal RNA". It matches the Rfam family "Bacterial small subunit ribosomal RNA", at positions 68 to 358 of the family's 1533-position model. Lineage: Bacteria; Pseudomonadati; Pseudomonadota; Betaproteobacteria; Burkholderiales; Burkholderiaceae. The record is from RNAcentral.
UGUAUGGGGUAGCUUGCUACCUGCCGGCGAGUGGCGAACGGGUGAGUAAUACAUCGGAACGUGCCCUGUAGUGGGGGAUAACUAGUCGAAAGACUAGCUAAUACCGCAUACGACCUGAGGGUGAAAGUGGGGGACCGCAAGGCCUCAUGCUAUAGGAGCGGCCGAUGUCUGAUUAGCUAGUUGGUGGGGUAAAGGCCCACCAAGGCGACGAUCAGUAGCUGGUCUGAGAGGACGAUCAGCCACACUGGGACUGAGACACGGCCCAGACUCCUACGGGAGGCAGCAGUGGG